AAAAAAUAUUUUUCAUUUAGCAAACAUGUCAGAGAAGCAAAAUUCAGAAAUGAUGUGCAGUGUCACCAACAGGUCAAAAAAGUAAGGACAAUCUAUAAUUGUGGUCAUGAAAUUAUGCAUCAUCCGUGAACACAAAAGUCAGUCAUCAACUAUUUACAUGGUAACCCUGAAUUAUUUAGAUUUACUUCCUACAUGCAUAAAAAUAAACCUCUCAUGAUUUCGUUGGACAUCACAUAUCAAAAGGGAGAAAAAUGAAACCUAAGACAAUUGAAUCAUAAUGAUUUUUUUCUAUGUGGAAGUAGAUAAUUUCCUUAUCUUUCAGACAGCCACUCCAGAAACUAAUCAUACAAUCAAAUUUAGUUAGAAAUUUAGAGCAUGCUAGCACAGAACAAUAGGAGCUAUGAAUUUACACAUGCUAGCUGUAGAUUGUCUAGAAAAAUCGAAAACCAAAUACUUGGUGCCAGCAGAUCUAAAGAAUCAUUGUGUUUUAGGAACACCCACCGAUCGGAGCAGGCAACAACGGAGCUGCCUUGGGGCCGCCAUCGACUUGGAGCUCCUUGUUGAGCCGCACAGA
This 574-nucleotide long non-coding RNA is filed under the name Setaria italica (foxtail millet). RNAcentral describes it as "long non-coding RNA (SITA_LNC004227)". Lineage: Eukaryota; Viridiplantae; Streptophyta; Magnoliopsida; Poales; Poaceae. The record is from RNAcentral.